GUGUCAGCAGCCGCGGUAAUACGGAGGGGGCUAGCGUUGUUCGGAAUUACUGGGCGUAAAGCGCGCGUAGGCGGUUUGCCAAGUCAGAGGUGAAAGCCCGGGGCUUAACCUCGGAAUUGCCUUUGAGACUGGCAGGCUUGAGUACGGGAGAGGUAAGUGGAAUUCCGAGUGUAGAGGUGAAAUUCGUAGAUAUUCGGAAGAACACCAGUGGCGAAGGCGGCUUACUGGACCGUUACUGACGCUGAGGCGCGAAAGCGUGGGGAGCAAACAGGAUUAGAUACCCUGGUAGUCCACGCCGUAAACGAUGGGUACUCGGUGUCAGCCCGAUGGGGUUGGUGCCUAAGCGAAAGCGAUAAGUAUCCCACCUGGGGAGUACGCCGGCAACGGUGAAACUCAAAGGAAUUGGCGGGG
Molecule: ribosomal RNA, 411 nt
Filed under: uncultured prokaryote
Description: bacterial SSU rRNA
Rfam family: Bacterial small subunit ribosomal RNA
Source: RNAcentral